CUUGGAACAGGACGUCAUAGAGGGUGAGAAUCCCGUAUGUGACAAGAAAUGGCACCCUAUGUAAAUCUCCUUCGACGAGUCGAGUUGUUUGAGAAUGCACCUCUAAAUGGGAGGUAAAUUUCUUCUAAAGCUAAAUAUUGGCAAAAGACCGAUAGCCCACAAGUAGAAUGAUCGAAAGAUGAAAAGCACUUUGGAAAGAGAGUUAAAAAGCACGUGAAAUUGUUGAGAGGGAACCGCUUGCAAUCCUACUUGUUUAAACUGUUCCGCCGGUCUUCUGACCGGUUUACUCACUUUGGACAGGCCACCAUCAUUUUCCGCGGCCGAAAAAAGGCUCUGGAAAUGUGGCCCCCACUUCGGGGGAGGUGUUAUAGCCCAGGGUGUAAUACCGCCAGGCGGGACUGACGUCCGCGCUUCGGCUAGGAUGCUGGCGUAAUGGUUGUAAGCGACCCCNCUUGAACACGGACCA
Molecule: ribosomal RNA, 466 nt
Filed under: Aureobasidium pullulans
Lineage: Eukaryota; Fungi; Ascomycota; Dothideomycetes; Dothideales; Saccotheciaceae
Description: eukaryotic LSU rRNA
Rfam family: Eukaryotic large subunit ribosomal RNA
Source: RNAcentral